RNAcentral lists this ribosomal RNA (253 nucleotides) under uncultured bacterium. Its description in RNAcentral is "partial 16S ribosomal RNA". It matches the Rfam family "Bacterial small subunit ribosomal RNA", at positions 524 to 776 of the family's 1533-position model. The record is from RNAcentral.
GACGGAGGAUGCAAGUGUUAUCCGGAAUCACUGGGCGUAAAGCGUCUGUAGGUGGUUUAAAAAGUCUACUGUUAAAGCUUGAAGCUUAACUUCAAAAAUGCCGUAGAAACUUUUAAACUUGAGUAUGGUAGGGGUAGAGGGAAUUUCCAGUGGAGCGGUGAAAUGCGUAGAUCUUGGAAAGACCACCAAUGGCGAAGGCACUCUACUGGGCCAUUACUGACACUGAGAGACGAAAGCUAGGGGAGCAAAUGGG